Molecule: long non-coding RNA, 1280 nt
Filed under: Malus domestica (apple)
Lineage: Eukaryota; Viridiplantae; Streptophyta; Magnoliopsida; Rosales; Rosaceae
Description: long non-coding RNA (MDOM_LNC000390)
Source: RNAcentral
GCUUAUGGUAGAAAUUUCACAUUUGAUUCUUUGAGCGAAACACAUUUAAACUAAACACAUGUGUGAUUGAGUGCAUAUCCCGUGAGAAGGUCGCUAGUUUGCAUAUGAUGAUUUUAAAAAUAAAAACUUGAAAUUGCAUUAGCAUGGCUAUCUCACACACUACACUUCAAGGAUGAUUCAAAGAUUACUGCUAAUAUUUGAAUAAGGAAGAUGAACUUGGAUUAGUUUGUUUGGUGCUAGCUAUGGUUCUUGAUGAUUUGUUUUCUUAAAUGAAAUUCUAUGAGGAUCACAUAAAGGGAAGCUAAUGUUUUUCAUGUUUUUACUUUUUCAUAUUUUCUUUGUUUUGCUCGAGGACUAGCAAAAAUGUAAGUUUGGGGGUAUUUGAUCACUCAUAUAUUUCAUGCAUUUAUACCAUCCAUUUCUAAAGUUUUUGUGAUGUUUUUAUGUUAAAAUUGUAGUAACUUACCUUACCUUGUGUUAAUGUACAGUUAAUUUUGUGUUAGCAUUGUUUUCACAGAAAUAAUGGAAUGAUGGAGGAAUAAAAGAAACAAAAGAAAUCCAUGGCAUGGCAGUCAUGGAGUGAUGGAGUGAUGGAGUGAUGGAAAAGAAUAAGAAAAUAAAACAGUGGGAGAGCACGGACGAAAAAAAGAAUAAAAGAAUAAGAAGCAGUGGAGGGCAGACUGAAAUAAAAUAGGCAGGGAGUGGACGAAAUUAGUUCAGAAAACAAAUGAACCACAGAUUCUCAAUCAGACAAAGAAAAAUAUUCUCACUUGUACCAAAACCUGGCACUUCACCUUGCAGGCCACUCACGGCAGACAUCACUAUGACAACCAAAAAGAAGAAAGUCACGGAGAAAAGAAAAAAAGAAAGAAAACACUGACAGAAUAAAAGGCGCGGAAGAGAGUAAGGGAGGUGGGGGGGAAUACAGGCUGCCUUUGGCAGCGUGAGAGACAGGAGGCGGAGAGAGCAGUAAGGGCAGAGGGGAGACUGACACGGAAGCAGCAGAGGCACGGCAGGCGAGAAAGGAUUGGCAGGCGCAGAUUGGCAAGGAGAGCUGACGUGAGAGACAGCAGGAGGAGGCUGCUUUGAGCAGCGUGAGAACGGGAAGAGAGAAGAGAGACUGUCAGAAGCACAGUCCACACGGGCAGAAGACCAGAGGCACGGGCGGACUGGCGAGCAGCGUGAGCCUCGGGGAGGAGAAAAACAGAAGCAGCAAGCUGCCUUCUCUCUCGGUUAAAUCUUUCCAAACUUAUAUUUUAUUUCUGUUUUAAUAAUGUGUA